This is an RNA transcript of Octopus bimaculoides (California two-spot octopus), 3428 nucleotides long. It is a transcript of the gene named transmembrane protein 8B, with no coding region annotated. The record is from RefSeq and is a predicted model, not a curated record. NCBI's taxonomy places the organism in Eukaryota, Metazoa, Mollusca, Cephalopoda, Octopoda, Octopodidae.
CUGGGUGAAUGUCUAGUAGAAAAAGAAAUGAAUAACACAAGUCAUUGAGAAGGUUUAUUUUGGAGACUUCUCUAGAGUUUGGAGGUAAAGUGUAUAAAGAGCGGAGUGAUGCAAGGAUGGAGGCGGCGGAGACGACUCUAGUAUUUCAUUGCUUCAGCCUUCCUCUAUGACCAGGCUGGCUUUAAUUAAUUUAUUUUCUCUUUUCACAUUGUUAAGCUGCUGCCAGAGGUCUGUGCAUGUCGCCACUAGGGAAAGUAGAAAAGAAGAGACGUGGUCAGGCAGUGGCAAUUGGCUUAUAUAAUAAUAAUAACAAUAGUAUUUAUUUAUCGUCGUCCGUUAUUCGCUUAAGACUUGGGUGAUGGAAUCCUGUGGAGCAAGUCUGUUUUCUACUUCAACACCACUGCGAACACCACUACCAUUUCCUUCUGCUCCUAGAUACCAACAGCAUCACCACCACCGACAUCGGACUAACCUCGCAUCUCUGCUUCAAGACACUGGCUGGAGGAAUAUGUUGCUAUGGAUGCUACUGCUGUUUCUUUUCUUCCCUUCGACCUGCUUCCUUCAGCAGGCUCUUGCAGAAGUCAUAUAUCAAGAUUAUGUGUCAUGGACCCCUCCAUUACAAAUUCGAGGUUACCAUUUGUUCCCUGAUUCACAGCUGUUAGAAUUCACUGUUCCAGAAGCAUCCACACAGAGUAUAUGGAAGUUCCAAAGUUUCUCAGAUAAAGCCAGUUGCGAAGUUAAGCAGGUUUACAUUUUUUUACAGUAUGGCAGUUUUCCUAUCAUCAACCUCACCAACAAAACAUUUCCAAAUACAUUCUACUUAAAACGAACAUUUUCCGAGCGUUUCAUCUUACGUUCUGACAACAGGACAACUGUCAUUAAUAUGGAUGCACCAAGACAUGGACCAUGGUUUGCAGCUGCACUUUUACCAAACCCCAAUGAAAAAAUACAACAGAAGGGUAUCCUCACCAAAUGUAAAUACUCUGUACGUGGUAUGUUGGUCACUCAGACGAGGAAAGGUUAUGGACAAGCUGUGGCCAAUACAAUUGUUACAACAACAUUAAUGCAUGGUUUUGAGUCCAAGAUGAAAUACUAUAAAAUUGUCCUCCCUCCUCUGAGCUACCUGUACUAUUUUUCUGUACUCAACUGUACCGUUGACUCGGUGGACACUGGAGGAUGUCCUAUCUAUGUAUCCAUCGGCAACGGUAACAUGCCACCUUUUGAUGUCGAUGAGUUUCUCAUCAACUGUACAAAUUCUACGGAGAACUGUCACCUUCGAGUUGUGUCACCCAAUAGCUCAGGGUUAAACUUUGUUGCCUUCUAUCUCCGUGAUAUCAACAGUACAGCACCUGUCACUGUCACAUGGCAGGUAACCACUGAAGAAUGUGAAGCAAAGUCAUCACAUAUCUUCAUGGAGAAUUCCACAGAUGAAUCAAUGGCAGCUAACAAAAGCCAGGUGGCCUCAGAAUUUCAGUCCAAGUGUAUUAUACUUCCUAUGUUGGGACAGUUCAGUAGUGCCAGUGAGAACUUCAACAGUAUUUAUGUCUUUCCCAAUGAAUUUCUCAUGCCAAAGAGGAACAACACUUUAGUUGUUCCUGACACUCACAGUCUGAUAACUGGUUUCAAUGUCCGUUUUCUAUCCAAUUCCGGAGGUACCAUUGGUAUAACGUUGCAUUUUGAUAAACAAAAACUUUCAGAGAACCAGACUGCUACCAUCUAUAUGUGCAUUGUCAAAGAUGGUUUCCCUGAUGUUCACAAUUUAGAGAAUUGUUCCAAUGGUGCACUGCUUUCUAUUGAGUCUGCAGACGAUCAACAUCAUCAUCAAAGAAUUCAUAUACCAUAUCCAGAGUUUGGGGACUAUUAUGUAGCUUUAAUAAGUCGGUGCUACUCCAUAGAGAGAAAUCAGACUGUGGAGCCAUGUCAUACAUUUCCAACUGCACGUUUCACUAUCAUUCAAUCUCGAUGUUUAAAUGAAAAAUGUGGCCAUUAUGGUCACUGUGCUGAAUACAUUAGUGGAUUAUUUGUAUUUAGUGCAUGUCGAUGUUUUGCUGGAUGGAAAGGUUAUGUAUGUACUGAUGACACUGAUGCCAACUCUGAUAGUUUGGAACUGUUGGCGGUAAUGUUGUUAACCCUCAGUAAUGGAUUCUUCAUCCCAGCUAUCAUCUUGGCUUUCUACCGACGCUUUUACCUUGAAGGGGUUGUAUAUAUCUUCACAAUGUUCUUCUCAGCAGUGUACCACGCAUGUGAUGCCAGCAACUUGUACCAAUAUUGUAUGAUGAAAUAUGAUGUUUUGAGCUUCAGUGACUUUCUUGGUAGCUAUAUGGCAGUAUGGGUAACAUUAAUGGCCAUGGCUCGCCUGCCUGAUAAACUUCGGACAAUAUUCGAUGUGAUGGGUGCCUUGUUCUUGGCAUUAGCUGUUGACUAUGACAAACAUAGUUUACUUUUAAAUGUUGUUCCCUUAGUACUUGGUAUAGGAAUGGUCUUCUUAUCUUGGGGUUACCAAUGUCGAUUGAGGCAUCAUUGUUACCCAACGUGGCGUCGAUACGUCUUCUGCUUACUACCCGGAGUGCUACUGGCUCUGGUGGGCCUUCUUUUGUUCACACUGUUUGAGACCGAAACAAAUUAUAAAUAUGUUCACAGCAUCUGGCAUGUACUCAUUGCCACAUCAAUAGUGUUCCUGUUGCCAGGACGACGGGAACUACCAGAUGGCAGCAGUAAAGCCUGCCUAUACAUAUCCAAACUGAUUUCACUAAAAGUUCUUGGUCCUCCACCUCGUGACUGAAUAAUGAAGAAAAUAAGUCAAAUGAGUGAACUCACACAAUCUGAGAGCCGUGUGGAUAGAAGCAUAAUAACCAAAGGAUACGGAACUGGUUCAAAGAAAUGGUUGAUGUUUAACAUGAACUGCAGCAAGAAAAGAAUUUUGAUUUUCAGAGUUGGAGCUUGAUUUAUGUUGGUGAUUGAAUUGUGUAGUCUGCCUCAUUGCGCUUCAUGUGAGUUACAUACACAACUGCCUAUGAUUUUUCUAGCGAGAAACAGCAUAACUGUAGAAGAAACCAACAAGGGUUUGACAGAUAAUUCUUGAACAAUUUAAAGAAGUCUGCUGCUCAACAAUGCUGCACCAAAAUUUUGCACCAAUAUACUGCAGUUUCCUUGUUUGUUUUUUUCCCUCGAUCUCAUCUUUUCCCCCCAUCUGUUCCAUUCUUUCUAUUCUUGCUUCAGCUUGCUAACCCAGAGCAUUGGAAUCUGGUUGUCAGCCUUUCACAGAAUCUACGUGUUUCAACAUGCUUACCUUCUAGUUUGAUCCAUUUCUUCUCCUUAGAGAGUCUGUUUUGUUCUCCCUGUGCCUCAACACUUUCUCCACCUUUUCUAGGUAACCUCCAUUGCAUCUAUAUCAAAUAUUGAAAAUAAAAGUUCCUUAAAUAAAUAAG